This 406-nucleotide ribosomal RNA is filed under the name uncultured bacterium. RNAcentral describes it as "partial 16S ribosomal RNA". It matches the Rfam family "Bacterial small subunit ribosomal RNA", at positions 29 to 526 of the family's 1533-position model. The record is from RNAcentral.
AUUGAACGCUGGCGGCAGGCCUAACACAUGCAAGUCGAGCGAGCGGCGGACGGGUGAGUAAUGUCUGGGAAACUGCCUGAUGGAGGGGGAUAACUACUGGAAACGGUAGCUAAUACCGCAUACCAUCAGAUGUGCCCAGAUGGGAUUAGCUAGUGGGUGGGGUAACGGCUCACGUAGGCGACGAUCCCUAGCAGGUCUGAGAGGAUGACCAGAAAGACUGGAACUGAGACACGAUCCAGAAGCCUACGGAAGGCAGCAGGGGGGAAUAUUGCACCAUGGGCGACAGACUGAUGCAGCCAUGCCGCGGGUGUGAAGAAGGCCUUCGGGUUGUAAAGCGCUUUCAGCGGGGAGGCGUUACCCGCAGAAGAAGCACCGGCUAACUCAGUGCCAGCAGCCGCGGUAAUAC